AGCGGAGGAAAAGAAACCAACAGGGAUUGCCCUAGUAACGGCGAGUGAAGCGGCAACAGCUCAAAUUUGAAAUCUGGCCUCGGCCCGAGUUGUAAUUUGCAGAGGAUGUUUCUGGCGCGGUGCCUUCCGAGUUCCCUGGAACGGGACGCCACAGAGGGUGAGAGCCCCGUAUGGUUGGACACUAAGCCUGUGUGAAACUCCUUCGACGAGUCGAGUAGUUUGGGAAUGCUGCUCAAAAUGGGAGGUAAAUCUCUUCUAAAGCUAAAUACCGGCCAGAGACCGAUAGCGCACAAGUAGAGUGAUCGAAAGAUGAAAAGCACCUUGAAAAGGGGGUUAAACAGUACGUGAAAUUGUUGAAAGGGAAGCGCUUGUGACCAGACUUGCGCCGGGCGGCUCAUCCGGGGUUCUCCCCGGUGCACUCCGCCCGGCUCAGGCCAGCAUCGGUUCUCGUUGGGGGAUAAGAACGGCAGGAACGUGGCCCUCCUUCGGGUGGGUGUUAUAGCCUGCCGUACGAUACCCUGACGGGGACCGAGGUUCGCGCUCCGCAAGGAUGCUGGCGUAAUGGUCAUCAGCGACCCGUCUUGAAACACGGACCAAGGAGUCGUCCAUUAGAGCGAGCGUUUGGGUGUCAAACCCGCACGCGUAAUGAAAGUGAAAUUAGGUGAGAGCUUCGGCGCAUCAUCGACCGAUCCUGAUGUUCUCGGAUGGAUUUGAGUAAGAGUUUUAACGGACGGACCCGAAAGACAGUGAACUAUGCUUGUAUAGGGUGAAGCCAGAGGAAACUCUGGUGGAGGCUCGCAGCGGUUCUGACGUGCAAAUCGAUCGUCAAAUAUGAGCAUGGGGGCGAAAGACUAAUCGAACUGUCUAGUANCU
RNAcentral lists this ribosomal RNA (873 nucleotides) under Chrysoporthe deuterocubensis. Its description in RNAcentral is "LSU rRNA". It matches the Rfam family "Eukaryotic large subunit ribosomal RNA", at positions 49 to 952 of the family's 3401-position model. The record is from RNAcentral. Lineage: Eukaryota; Fungi; Ascomycota; Sordariomycetes; Diaporthales; Cryphonectriaceae.